AAGUCGAACGAAGUAGCAAUACUUAGUGGCAGACGGGUGAGUAACAUGUAGGUAUCUGCCCUUUGGCCUGGAAUAACACGAGGAAACUUGUGCUAAUACCGGAUAAGUCUUUACGGAGAAAGCUUUAUGCACCAUUGGAUGAGCCUGCACUUGAUUAGUUUGUUGGUGGGGUAAUGGCCUACCAAGACUGUGAUCAAUAGCUGAUUUGAGAGGAUGAUCAGCCACAUUGGGACUGAGACACGGCCCAAACUCCUACGGGAGGCAGCAGUGGGGAAUCUUGCACAAUGGAGGAAACUCUGAUGCAGCGAUGCCGCGUGAGUGAAGAAGGCCCUUGGGUUGUAAAGCUCUUUCGUCGGGGAAGAAAAUGACUGUACCCGAAUAAGAAGGUCCGGCUAACUUCGUGCCAGCAGCCGCGGUAAUACGAAGGGACCUAGCGUAGUUCGGAAUUACUGGGCUUAAAGAGUUCGUAGGUGGUUGAAAUAGUUGGUGGUGAAAUCCCAGAGCUUAACUCUGGAACUGCCAUCAAAACUUUUCAGCUAGAGUAUGAUAGAGGAAAGCAGAAUUUCUAGUGUAGAGGUGAAAUUCGUAGAUAUUAGAAAGAAUACCAAUUUGCGAAGGCAGCUUUCUGGAUCAUAACUGACACUGGAGGAAACGAAAAGCAUGGGUAGCGAAGAGGAUUAAAAUACCCUCCGUAGUCCAUGCCGUAAACGAUGUGUG
This 717-nucleotide ribosomal RNA is filed under the name uncultured marine bacterium. Its description in RNAcentral is "bacterial SSU rRNA". It matches the Rfam family "Bacterial small subunit ribosomal RNA", at positions 59 to 815 of the family's 1533-position model. The record is from RNAcentral.